RNAcentral lists this long non-coding RNA (5990 nucleotides) under Equus caballus (horse). Its description in RNAcentral is "lncRNA (ENSECAG00000057258.1)". Lineage: Eukaryota; Metazoa; Chordata; Mammalia; Perissodactyla; Equidae. The record is from RNAcentral.
GGAAAUUGAUUUGGAAGUGCUCUCAGCAACAACGCUUGUAAUGAGCGAGGGAGGCAGGGCUGGGCAGAGGGAGAAGCUGAGCCCUGAGGCAGUCAGAACAGAGAUCUCAGCCAGACCCACAGAAAGCUCUGGAAGAGGGGUGAUGCUUCAGUGUUGUCCAAGUUUAGGUAAGGGGCUGGCUUUUGUACUCCUGUUUGGAGCAGGAGUUGGGUGUGGGCUGCUCCCCAGUGUGUGUGUGUGUGUGUGUGUGUGUGUGUGUGUGUGUGACAUCGCACAAUGCAGCUCCCCUGGCUGAGGCCCAUUUCUGGCUGGAGGCUCUGCUGUGAGCUGUCAGCUGCCACCACUGCUAGCAGCUGGGGGAAUGAGUACCUCUGUCCUGAAGGGGGACCUGGACGGCACACCCACGGCCUCGGUGCCCUCAUGUCUAUUGCAGCAUUUCCUGUCCUCUUCUUACCUAACUUCGCAGAAGCUUCAGCACGGUUGACCACUCCCUCCUAGAAAAGAGCCCUUCCUUGGUUCCCAGGAGACCACACCUUUGUUUUUUUCUUCUAUCUCUCUGGCCGUUUCUCCUUAUUCCCUUUCAGAGUCUCCCCUUCCUCCUCCUGGGCACUCCAUUCUUCUGGUUCUUCUCUCCCAGUGAUCUCACACCGUCUCACCAGUUAAAAAAAAACAAUGCUCUUGGAUGCCAAUGUUUAUGUCUCUAGCCCAGAACUUUUUCUGAGCUUCUAGCUAAUACAUGCAGCUACCAGCCUGUGGGUACCUCACAGGCAUCUACUCGUCACAGCCACAGCAGAUGUCUUGGCUUCCCUGCUCCACUGUAACUGUUCCUUCCCUGCCUGCUCUUUUCCAUUUCAGAAAAUGGCACCACUUCCAAUCCAGCUUCUCAAAGCUGGAACCCAGGGCUGUAUCCUAGAUUUCUCUCUUUUACUCAGUUGCUUCUGCCUUCUCGAAUGCCUCCACUGCUCUCCUGCCCCCACCUCCAGCACACCCCACCAAGGAGAGCCUCCCACUCCCUUCCCAUUCCACACCUGACCCUUCCCACACCCUCCUCCACACGGCAGCCAGAUGUGGACCUGCCAUGACUCAGAGAGAAUCCAAGCUCCUCCACGCCAGGCACAGGUGUCUUCUCUGGGUGCCAUCCCCAUCCUGCCUACCUCUCCAACCUCAGCUUCUGCUGCUGUCUGCAGCAUCCUCGCUGUAUUUAAGGCUGCAGAGUCAUGGAAGGGACCUGAGUGUGGUGUCACCUCUUCCUGACGUCAGAAUGAAUUCAGUUAAUCUCAGGAACAUUCUACAGUGGGAGUCACCUGCUUUUGCCAAAGGGAGUUUGACUUUCAUGGCUCAGUAAUCGUAGGCAGGGGUAGGGGGAUCUUGGCAGGAAGGUGUCAGAGGAUGGUGGCCCUGGGCUGGUCAAUGGGCUGUACCAUUUAAGAGAGAGUCUGACUGCUGUCACCCACAGGCCCGUGACAGCCCACAUGAGCCUCCCUCCUGGCCUUUUUCUUUCUGCCCAGGAAAUUCUUAUAGUCAGCUUUUCCUUUUUCCUUUUUCUUGCUGUGGCUCCUAGUUAGACAAUUUAUCACAGAGCUGCAAGUGGACAUAAACAUUUUAUCCUGUACAUGUAGACACAGUCAGUGAGUUUAAUACUAUGGAGAACAUUGCUCAUUUGCCUCAAUUUACCUUUUUUAGAGAGAAAUAUCCCUGAGAUCAUUGCCAGUUAUAGGAGUAACAUGGUUAGAGGUGAGAGGUUCAUCUUUCGAAAUUUUCCAGGAAAACCGAGGUCUACUCAAGGAGUCACUGUCCACAGACACUUACCUGCAAUGCUCCAUAUCUAAAAAGCUCUGAAAACCAAGUGUAGUUUUUCCCUCCUUCCUUUGGUGGCAAAGCUAGAACUGAACUCAUUUGAUGGCAAGCCCUUACCUGGCCCGAAGGUAUUUGUGGCAAAUGUGACCCAAACUGAUGUAAAUCCGCUUAUAGUUUGAAUUUUUCCUUUUAGUGUGACUAUUCAAAACUUCUAUCUCAGAAACGUUAAUAUGCUUGAUUUGAUUGCAUCUGAAAUCUUUUUCACUUUAAGAGCUCGUUCUUAGUCUCCAAUUGCUCUGGGGAACCUGUGGUGUAGUUCCAAGUCGAGUCUGAAGGCCUGAGGACCAGGAGAGCUGAUGGUGUAAGUUCCACUCCACGCGCAGGAGGAAAACCAAUGUCCUAGCUUGAAAAAAGGCAGAGGGAAUGAAUUCUCUUUUAGUGAAUUCUCUCUUUGUUCUAUUCAAGCCUCCGAUGGAUUAGACGAGGCCCCCCCACAUUGUGGAGGGCGACUUGCUUUACUCCGUCUUCGGAAUCGAAUGUUCAUCUCAUCCGGAAACAUCCUCACAGACACGCCCAGAAUAGCGUUGAGCCAAAUAUCUGGGCACCUCCUGUCCCAGUCCAGUUGACACAUAAAAGUCACCAUCACAUUCGUCUCCCUUCACUAAAACAGAAGCCCUAUGAAGGCAGGGACUCUAUCCGUUUCCUUCUCUGUGGUGUCCCCAGCACCUAGAAUUCCACCUGGCUCCAAGUGGCUGCUUAGUAACUGGUUCUUGAGCGAAUGGAUGAAACUAACCCAUCUCUCCCUGGAUUGAGGGUCUGGAGGCCCGGGAUGGUGCAUGUUCAGUGGGUUUGUGCCUAAGCUGGGACUCAACCCAGGGCGCUGUUAUCUAUUGCUGCAUCAAACUUAAUAGCUUCAAAUGACGUUUAUUAUGUCAUAGUUUCUGCAGGUCAGGAAUCAGGCGCAGCUUAGCUGGCCCUGGCCUCUCUGUUCAAGGUCUCUCGCGGUGUCGGCCAGGGCUGCAGUCCACUGGGGGCAAAUCCACUUUUAAGUUCACGUGGUUGUUGGCCGAAUUCUGUUCCUUUAGGGUUGUUAGAUUGAGGACCUCAAUUCUGUGCUGCCUGUUGGCUGGAGGCGGCCUCAGGUCCUUGCCACGUGAGCCUUUCCGCUGUGGGAGGUUGCUUCCUCCAAGGGUGCCAGCUGAGAAGGCAGCGGAGAGAGCCUGCUAGCAAGAUGGAAUCAUAAUCAUCCGUAACCGAAAUACGGAAGCAGCAUCCAUCACCUUCGUCACAUUCAAUUGAGUCAUAGGUACUGUCCACACUCAGAAGGAGGGGAUUACUCAAAGCUAUGAAGACUAAGAGAUGGGGAGCAGGUGGCCAUCUCAUCUUUGAGUCUGCCUGUCACAGGUGGGUAGGCGCACAGACUCUGGAGCCAGGGUUCAAAUCCCUGCUCUGUCACUUCUUUCCUGUGUGAUCUUAGGUAAGUUACUUAACCUCUCUGUACUUUAGCUUCAACCUUUGAAAAAUUAGGCAAAUAAUAGUAUCUGCUUCAUAAGGUUGUUGUGGGAAUUAAAUAAGGAUACAGAAGUGCUUAGAACAGGGCCUGCACACGGAAGAGCUAAGUAACAAUUGGCUGUUACUCCUGCUCCUUUGGGCAGGCGUGCAGCGUAACCCUUAAAGGAAGUGCAGUGAAAGCUGCCCCGUGUUUCCUCCUUCUGUGGGAUUGUUCAGUCCAAUCUAGACCCUGUUCAUGCCACAAUUUCUCCUGCUUAGAGACUUUACCCCCAUAGGUUGAACUUUCUGAGAAUUUUUGAGUCAUAAACCAAGGGCAAUAAAUCUGGGAUCAUCAAAUGCCAGCUCGUGGGUUAGUGGCUGCUUAACGAAGAGUUCUGAUGGGCGUGGAAACAGAGGCGUGGUGUGGUGUCUGAUGGCCCAGAUCUGAUCGUUGAGGUAACCAGGAGACGGAACGUGAACUUGACUCAGGAAGAAAAUUACAUUGAGUUUCUGCUGCAUGAGACAGACUUCUUCUUUUGUUUUUCAAGGAAGUGAACUGGCUGGAGCAUGGUCUGAACUCGGGAGCUCAAGAUACAGACCGCAAGCUGUCUGUCCUUAAGGUAAGUCCCUUGCUGAGGAAAGUGAGGUAUCAGGUUCCCAUAAAAGAAGUGGGCCGACCCCCUGCUCUCCCUUCUUCCCAUUUUAAGCACUAAGAAGAGGUUAUAACUGGUCAGCGGGAAGCGAGACAGCCUUUCACUGCUGUGUGAGUUUCCUGGCUGCCUGAACACAUUACCGCAAGCAGAGUGGUUUGAAACAGAAAUGCAUCCUCUGACACAUCUGGAGACUAGAAGUCUGAAAUCAAGGUGUGGCAGGGCCACGCUCCUUCCAAAGGUUCUGGGAAGGAUUCUUCCUUGCCUCUCCCUAGUUUCUGAUGGUGGCCCACCAUCCUUGGCAUUUCUUGGCUUGUAGACACAUCACCCCAAUCUCUGCCUCCAUCUUCACAUGGCCUGCUCCCUGUGUGUGUCCCUGUGUCUCUUCUUAUCAGGACACCGGUCAAUGUAUUAGGGUCCACCUUACUGUAGUUUGACCUUAUCUUGAGUUAACUAAUUACAUUUGCCAACAUGCUAUUUUCAAAUAAGACCACAUUCUGAGGUUUGGGGUAGAUGUGGAUUUUGGGGUGACACUAUUCAUCCCUGUACAGCUACUAAACAUUUUCAUGUAUUUAUCUUCACUAGUUUCAAAUUACCUCUCAUUAUAGCACUGAAGUCCUCAGAAAUCUGGAGCCACGGACAACUUAUUGUGUUCCAGUCCUAGGAUUUAUUCUUGAUUAGGACAAAGUCAUGGAAUGGAGUGAGCCUGUCUAUGAGCAAACAACCGAUGGUGAUGAGUCCUGAGAUGCACCACCUGUCACUGCUUCCUUUAGGCUUUUUAAACAGCUGUGUAGACUCCCAAUGGGUGUUUGAGUUGGAAGCCUCCUUAGACAUCAUUGCGUCCAGCUCAAACUCCAACCCGGUUCACCCCUGGCUGAUCGGCUUCAUGCUGGGAAGGAGACCACCACCUUCUGAGCCAGCUCGUCCGCUUGUAGACCCAAGGGAUUGAUGGACACGUCUCUGUCCACGGUGCCGAAGUCUCCCUCGGUGCGCCCACCUCCGCUGGUCUGCCUUCUCAUCAGUCUUCCACAAGACAGCCCGGGAAAUCUUCAGCCCCCGACCCCCGAUUGUAUUCCCAGUUCCUUUAAAAAAAAAAAAAACAAAACUCCCUAUCCUGUCACCCUGCUCACAAUGUGCACAGGUUUUCAGGGUGGUACCAAGACUUAUAUAUAAUUUUCCAUAUAUGGUCUGACACAGGCCCUGGACACUUAGUAUUUCUCUUCCUUUUUGUUUCAAACUUUUUAUUUUGAAAUAACGUGAAACUGAUAGGGAAGUUGUAGAAACCAUACAAAGAACUCCUCUGUGCUCUUAACCCAGGUGCACUGAUUGGUACUUGGUGUUUUUAGAAAACAGGACGGGCCCGUGACAAGGCUGUGAGGGUUCAGCAGAUCGUCUGUGUGGCCUGUGCACUGGGAUUCAGGGAAUGCGGUCGCAAGUUGCAUAACUUUUGGGGGACCUGUCACACACAGUUACCAUGGGCUGGGUUUGACAUUAAACACAUUCUCCAGCUCAUUUGCAAUUCUUGCCUUCUUCCUUCUGGCACUCACCCAUGAGAAACCUCGGUUCAAGGAGAAACCUCUGCCUCUGCAGCUGGUCGCCCACAUCUUCCUCAAUAUAAUGGGGCUCCAGAGACUCCACAGGCCGCGGAAUCCACCCGGAUGACCAGCGGCGCACAGUCAUGGCCCUUGUCACACGCCCGGGAUUCAGCAGACAACCGACUCGGUAACGUGCUGAGCAGUGUCCGGCUCACUGUCCGUGCUACAGAACUCUUAGCUGCUAUUACUCUAUUACCAUGACGAGCCAGACGCAUCCGCGGGGUGCAGAACUUGACAGGCCUCCUGUCCCUCCACAUUCCGGGAGGAAGAGCUCAACUGGGGAAGAGAAUCAAUCUCUCCUUUGUCCUAAGACUAGCCCCAGACCAGAGUAAGAUCUCUGGGGGCAUUGAGAACUGAAAACGUGCUGAGUGCUCCCUUACAACGUUAUUAAAAAGAAUUUAAAAAUGCUGAACUGGAAGAUGAAUACAAGAAAGAUCAAUAAACUCUUGACUUUUCC